This 253-nucleotide ribosomal RNA is filed under the name uncultured bacterium. RNAcentral describes it as "partial 16S ribosomal RNA". It matches the Rfam family "Bacterial small subunit ribosomal RNA", at positions 524 to 776 of the family's 1533-position model. The record is from RNAcentral.
UACAGAGGUCCCAAGCGUUGUUCGGAUUCAUUGGGCGUAAAGGGUGCGUAGGCGGCGCGGUAAGUCGGGUGUGAAAUCUCGGGGCUUAACUCCGAAACUGCAUUCGAUACUGCCGUGCUUGAGGACUGGAGAGGAGACUGGAAUUUACGGUGUAGCGGUGAAAUGCGUAGAUAUCGUAAGGAAGACCAGUGGCGAAGGCGGGUCUCUGGACAGUUCCUGACGCUGAGGCACGAAGGCCGGGGGAGCGAACAGG